GACGAACGCUGGCGGCGUGCCUAAUACAUGCAAGUAGAACGCUGAAGGAGGAGCUUGCUUCUCUGGAUGAGUUGCGAACGGGUGAGUAACGCGUAGGUAACCUGCCUGGUAGCGGGGGAUAACUAUUGGAAACGAUAGCUAAUACCGCAUAAGAGUAGAUGUUGCAUGACAUUUGCUUAAAAGGUGCAAUUGCAUCACUACCAGAUGGACCUGCGUUGUAUUAGCUAGUUGGUGGGGUAACGGCUCACCAAGGCGACGAUACAUAGCCGACCUGAGAGGGUGAUCGGCCACACUGGGACUGAGACACGGCCCAGACUCCUACGGGAGGCAGCAGUAGGGAAUCUUCGGCAAUGGACGGAAGUCUGACCGAGCAACGCCGCGUGAGUGAAGAAGGUUUUCGGAUCGUAAAGCUCUGUUGUAAGAGAAGAACGA
This 432-nucleotide ribosomal RNA is filed under the name Streptococcus mitis. RNAcentral's name for it is "bacterial SSU rRNA". It matches the Rfam family "Bacterial small subunit ribosomal RNA", at positions 28 to 452 of the family's 1533-position model. Lineage: Bacteria; Bacillati; Bacillota; Bacilli; Lactobacillales; Streptococcaceae. The record is from RNAcentral.